UGGGGAAUAUUGCACAAUGGGCGCAAGCCUGAUGCAGCCAUGCCGCGUGUGUGAAGAAGGCCUUCGGGUUGUAAAGCACUUUCAGCGAGGAGGAAGGUGGUGAGCUUAAUACGCUCAUCAAUUGACGUUACUCGCAGAAGAAGCACCGGCUAACUCCGUGCCAGCAGCCGCGGUAAUACGGAGGGUGCAAGCGUUAAUCGGAAUUACUGGGCGUAAAGCGCACGCAGGCGGUUUGUUAAGUCAGAUGUGAAAUCCCCGGGCUCAACCUGGGAACUGCAUUUGAAACUGGCAAGCUAGAGUCUCGUAGAGGGGGGUAGAAUUCCAGGUGUAGCGGUGAAAUGCGUAGAGAUCUGGAGGAAUACCGGUGGCGAAGGCGGCCCCCUGGACGAAGACUGACGCUCAGGUGCGAAAGCGUGGGGCAGCAAACAGGAUUAGAUACCCUGGUAGUCCACGCUGUAAAACGAUGUCGAUUUUGGAGGUUGUGCCCCUUGAGGCGUGGCUUCCGGAGCUAACGCGUUAAAUCGACCGCCUGGGGAGUACGGCCGCAAGGUUAAAACUCAAAUGAAUUG
This 569-nucleotide ribosomal RNA is filed under the name uncultured bacterium. Its description in RNAcentral is "partial 16S ribosomal RNA". It matches the Rfam family "Bacterial small subunit ribosomal RNA", at positions 355 to 912 of the family's 1533-position model. The record is from RNAcentral.